UCACGGGAACAGACGAGCUAGCUGACGUAGAGGACGUUGAGUUGCCACUCGAGGAUUUUUGCUGCCCAUUGGACGCGUUGGAUGAUUUGGUUGUAGUUUUAUUGCCAGACAUCAGAGGAGUGCAUCAAACAUACCUUCGCUAUGGAGCUGUAUCUGCCCCGAUUGUAGCAGGUUUAACAGCACAUCCUGUGGUAAGGUGCUCAGUGCCGACGCCGGAUAGAUGAUGCUGCUCGUUAUCUGAGGCGCCACACUGUUCGGUGCCGGUGCAACGAUUGUUGACGAUGUGGCGGUGGAUAUUGUCGACGAUGGUGGUACUGCCGACGGUGCCACCGGUUCCUGUUUCACCUUUACCGUGGAUGCCUUCGCUUUGCCGGACUUUGGUUGCUGUUUCUGCUGCUGUAGCUGCUGCUGACAGUGUUGAAUUUGCUGCUGAAGUGCUUGCUGCUGUUGCUGAAUUUGCUGCUGGAUGGCGUUAAUGGUAGCAGCAGCAGCAGCACUUGAAGCGGUCAUCACGCUUGUUGUUGCUGUGCCGGCAGCAGUGCUUGAUGCUGCACCACUUCCUGCACUCUGUGUACCAGCACUUCUGGUAGUGUGCUUUUCGUUCGAGCUGCCUUGCUGCGGUUGCUGCUGCUGCAAAUGAUGAUUAUUACUACUGUUGACGUUGGUAUUACUGCUAGUAUUAACGCUAGGUCCUGGAGGGGGCGAUUCCGGGGGCGAAUAAUCGUCCGAUUCACUGCCGGACGACAUCGGCGACCGAUCAUCCUGCGGAUGAAAAAGAGAAGCGGUAGGGGAAAAAGAAAACAGUGUCAGUAACGACAAGUUGACUUAUUGGCAAUUUGUUUGAACACGGCUUGCGAUGGCGUGACAUACGACAAAUGGCGUAUCAAAGUUGGUAACAGCAACAACAAAAAAGCAGGCGUGCAUAGCAUGAUCUAUGAUAUAAAAAAAUUAAACACACACACACACACACACACACACACACACAAAUACACACACACACACCAUACAUUUAAAACUAUCAUCCUUCGGCAUGCCGUAAAAGCACUUCAGCAGCAGCAGUAGCCAGAUAUUACACAAUUUGUAGCAAAAAACGGAUUAACAGGUAGGGCGCAGAUGGAGAUAAAUCGUUUCUGACCAAAUGCAAUGCAAUGCACAAGGGGGAGAGUUUACGCAGUGAAAUGGAAGCCAUCUUUGAAUGUUGGGGGGAAGCGGAGCGGAUGGCCACUAUUAUACAGCGCACGUUAGAUGAAGCUAUUGAUGGGCGGCCGUUGUGAAGUGCUGGUGUCCUAGGGCCUAGGGCUGGUUUCGGCUCAAUCGGGCACUGAAACGUGUAAUACAUCUAUACUAUCUAAGGUAGUUAUCGAUCAACCCAUGGCUGUAUAAAUGUCUCUAGAGAAUAAAUCACUUAAGAUGAUAUAA
Long non-coding RNA from Anopheles arabiensis, 1419 nucleotides. RefSeq lists it as uncharacterized. Lineage: Eukaryota; Metazoa; Arthropoda; Insecta; Diptera; Culicidae. The transcript has 2 exons. The record is from RefSeq and is a predicted model, not a curated record.